AGCGAACGCUGGCGGCAGGCUUAACACAUGCAAGUCGAGCGGGCACUUUCGGGUGUCAGCGGCGGACGGGUGAGUAACGCGUGGGAACGUGCCCUCUGGUUCGGAAUAACUCAGGGAAACUUGAGCUAAUACCGGAUACGCCCUUUUGGGGAAAGGCUUGCUGCCGGAGGAUCGGCCCGCGUCUGAUUAGCUAGUUGGUGAGGUGACGGCUCACCAAGGCGACGAUCAGUAGCUGGUCUGAGAGGAUGAUCAACCACACUGGGACUGAGACACGGCCCAGACUCCUACGGGAAGCAGCAGUGGGGAAUAUUGGACAAUGGGCGCAAGCCUGAUCCAGCCAUGCCGCGUGAGUGAUGAAGGCCUUAGGGUUGUAAAGCUCUUUUAUCCGGGACGAUAAUGACGGUACCGGAGGAAUAAGCCCCGGCUAACUUCGUG
Molecule: ribosomal RNA, 435 nt
Filed under: uncultured bacterium
Lineage: Bacteria
Description: partial 16S ribosomal RNA
Rfam family: Bacterial small subunit ribosomal RNA
Source: RNAcentral